Pelobates cultripes (western spadefoot toad) is the source of this 88-nucleotide non-coding RNA. The record is from the annotation of a GenBank genome assembly. NCBI's taxonomy places the organism in Eukaryota, Metazoa, Chordata, Amphibia, Anura, Pelobatidae.
GGGAGGGGGUGACUAGUGACAGAGGGAGGGAGAUGGUGAUGUCACUAGUCACCCCAUCCCUCCCUCUGUCACUAGUCACUCCCUCCCA